UACGUAGGGGGCAAGCGUUAUCCGGAAUUACUGGGUGUAAAGGGUGAGUAGGCGGCAUGGUAAGCCAGAUGUGAAAGCCUUGGGCUUAACCCGAGGAUUGCAUUUGGAACUAUCAAGCCAGAGUACAGGAGAGGAAAGCGGAAUUCCUAGUGUAGCGGUGAAAUGCGUAGAUAUUAGGAAGAACACCAGUGGCGAAGGCGGCUUUCUGGACUGAAACUGACGCUGAGGCACGAAAGCGUGGGGAGCGAACAGG
RNAcentral lists this ribosomal RNA (253 nucleotides) under uncultured bacterium. RNAcentral's name for it is "partial 16S ribosomal RNA". It matches the Rfam family "Bacterial small subunit ribosomal RNA", at positions 524 to 776 of the family's 1533-position model. The record is from RNAcentral.